Molecule: ribosomal RNA, 479 nt
Filed under: uncultured bacterium
Lineage: Bacteria
Description: partial 16S ribosomal RNA
Rfam family: Bacterial small subunit ribosomal RNA
Source: RNAcentral
GACGAACGCUGGCGGCGUGCUUAACACAUGCAAGUCGAGCGAUGAAGCACCUUCGGGUGUGAAUUAGCGGCGAACGGGUGAGGAACACGUGAGAAAUCUGCCUUCAACUCUGGGAUAACUCCGGGAAACCGGGGCUAAUACCGGAUAUGAGCCUUGAUCGCAUGAUCGGGGCUGGAAAGUUUUUCGGUUGAAGAUGAUCUCGCGGCCUAUCAGCUUGUUGGUGAGGUAAUGGCUCACCAAGGCGACGACGGGUAGCCGGCCUGAGAGGGCGACCGGCCACACUGGGACUGGGACACGGCCCAGACGCCUACGGGAGGCAGCAGUGGGGAAUAUUGGGCAAUGGAGGAAACUCUGACCCAGCGACGCCGCGUGAGGGAUGAAGGCCUUCGGGUUGUAAACCUCUUUCAGUAGGGAAGAGGCGAAAGUGACGGUACCUACAGAAGAAGCACCGGCUAACUAUGUGCCAGCAGCCGCGGUAA